Long non-coding RNA from Canis lupus familiaris (dog), 2246 nucleotides. RefSeq lists it as uncharacterized. NCBI's taxonomy places the organism in Eukaryota, Metazoa, Chordata, Mammalia, Carnivora, Canidae. The record is from RefSeq and is a predicted model, not a curated record. The transcript is spliced from 6 exons.
AUUCGGAAAAGAAAGGCGCUGUCGCCAACCCCGGAGCAGCCAGUCCCGGCCCUGCUUCAUAGCCAGGGGAGACCAGGCGGCCCGGGGCCAGCCUCUCCUAAACCCCAGCCCCCCCGCUGCCGCCUUCCCUCCCUCCAGCUUCCAGGCGUCCCUGCGUCUCUCCCGUGGUGGCCAUUAGCUAUAUCGUGGGUCUCGGGGUCCCCGUGGCCAGCUCAGGGCUUGGGAUCGGAGGGUGCCCUGGCCUUGGGAGUCGGUGAAGGAAAAGCAAGGAGGCGAGGGGGACCGAGGAUAGACAUUCACCACCCUGGCCCCCGCGAAAGGAGGUAGGCGAGAGGCCGGCCUCCCAGAAACAAAGUGCUCCGAGGGCUGCAGCGAAAACAGCCAGUGGAAGACAAGUAUACUAGCAUUGCUGGGCUUCAAUGGGAGAGCCCACCACCCAGGGACAGGGGUGCCUGAGGUGAGAGGAUCAGGUGCAGGGAGACCAAGACCCCUUCUGAGAGGCUACAGGGCUGAGACAGUACUUCCCCUGCAAGCGACGCCUCACUGGCCUAGGUGACAGAAAUCCUAGCACUCUAGUUACCUCUUGGGCUGGUCCCCCUUAGCCAGAUGAGAAGAGCCCUGCCUCUCUUCCUGGACCCAGCCACAGUUUGACAUAGCGUAGUGAAGGAUGGCAUCGGAGACGGUCAUGGGACUUCGGCCCUGGACGCAGGCUUCGAUCUCAGGCACGGAGAGCUGGCUUUGCAGGAAGAGGUGUAACUGGCUGUCCGAUAGGAGGACCACACUCUGCAGUACCCUGUGGGGCAAACACAAGAGGAAAUGCUGCAGACCUUGUCUCCGCUUCUCAAUGAACUCAUCCGAGCUGCCAAAGAAGGUAGACUUCCCAGGAAGUUCAGCUGCUUUCUCAGCCACACGAACUCACGAUAUCGGCGACGCACACAAGAUGUCUUGGCAGUAAAGGCUUUGCUGUUGGUCUACAGGAGGAAGCAUGUGAGAAAGAAAAAAGCCAAGGAGAAAAAGACCAAAUUCACACAUAUCCCCAUCAUCACUCUGACGGAGGAUCCAAGCCACCAGGCCACAGUCCAGAUCAGGACUGUCAAAAUAUCCAAAAACAGGCUCCACCUCUGCUCUAGCCCUCAGCCCUGGAGAGUGCUGACCCCGUACAGAAGGCUGAUGCACUUACGUGGAGAAAGAUCUUAUAAUCCACAUAAGAAUUCCAGGAGCCCUCAUUCUGCACUCGGGGGUCCUGAACACGCACGGUGAUCACCUCCUGGAGAACCCAAGCCAAUGGUUCCAGUCAUUUCCUCUCUCGAUAUGCUAUCCGGUUUGUACCAAUGCCCAAGUACCCCACAGCUGCACAGGUCGGCUCGGGAUGUUUUCCGAUCCUUUGUAAAGAUUCAUUAAAGCCUAAGCCCCUGAUUUCCCCCAGUGUGGCAGUUUACAUGUGCAGCGACAUCGCCCACUCCAACAAGGGGCCCAUGAAGCCUCCAGCGCUGGGUUACUCCAGUCCAAAGGGGCCCAUGAUGUCACCUUCUGUUAAAAUACAGCACUAAUCUUGUUACUCCUAGAACCACUCCAACAGCAUCCACCCUGGCUGCCGCCUCCACCCCCUUCUCCUCUCUUAAGAGCGGAACAAUAAGGUUUAAUUUCCCUUUCCAAUUUACCUUGAAAUGAAAACUGACUUCAGCCAAUAUGUACUGCCAACAAAUGAUCCAGGCCGGCUCCUGGGAAAACAAGACUAUCUCUAAGCUCUCUCUCUCCUCCCCCCAUACCCAUUCACACACCCACUCAUUUUUACAGGCCUACAAUUAAUUUUAAACACAUUCUCUUAUUAGUUUUGCCUUACCAUUAGAACCGCGUGUAAUGAGUUUCCUUCUAUUUUAUGUUUUGCUAACACAAGGCUAACGUUUCAAGAGAAGGGGAACUCAUUUACACCGCAAAAUUAGCAGAGCAAACAGCUUUCCCAAAUCUUUCCAGUACACCAGAAGGUCUCUCCACACACAGCCACUGCACAGGGAUAAAACUGCAUGGUGUAUGAUAGGACUGGACUACACCGUUGAGCAAGCCAGAGGUUUUGUGACUGCGAUACCAUCGUUGCACUUUUGCCAACAAUCUGAUUUUUCAUCUGAUGCAGUCACCAUCACAAAGGCAUCCUGAACUGAAAGGAAAUUCCAAUUCCUUACCAACCCAUGUGUAACGUCCCCAAUGUAAGCAGUCAAAGGGUUGUGACCAGGGCAGCCCAAGUGGCU